Molecule: ribosomal RNA, 253 nt
Filed under: uncultured bacterium
Lineage: Bacteria
Description: partial 16S ribosomal RNA
Rfam family: Bacterial small subunit ribosomal RNA
Source: RNAcentral
UACGAAGGGGGCUAGCGUUGUUCGGAAUUACUGGGCGUAAAGCGUAUGCAGGCGGACUUUUAAGUCGGGGGUGAAAUCCCGAGGCUCAACCUCGGAACUGCCUUCGAUACUGGAAGUCUUGAGUCCGGGAGAGGUGAGUGGAACUCCGAGUGUAGAGGUGAAAUUCGUAGAUAUUCGCAAGAACACCAGUGGCGAAGGCGGCUCACUGGCCCGGUACUGACGCUGAGGCACGAAAGCGUGGGGAGCAAACAGG